RNAcentral lists this long non-coding RNA (294 nucleotides) under Physcomitrium patens. RNAcentral's name for it is "long non-coding RNA (PPAT_LNC005443)". The record is from RNAcentral. Lineage: Eukaryota; Viridiplantae; Streptophyta; Bryopsida; Funariales; Funariaceae.
GGCCAUAUAAGAGAUUAGGGUUAAUUUUUUGGAGCCAUUUGAGCUUUGAAGGCUAAGGUCAAUAAGUUUAGGUUUUUGGCUAUGAUUUUGGUACAAAUCUUAUAUGAUUUGGAAUUUAUAUGAAGGAGAUAUAGGCGCUCAAAGUUAAGGUGUUGAUUUGGGAGCUACUAUCACUCUUUUUGAUAUAAUGCAUGUAUACGGAGGGCAAUUGAAGAUCGGCAACUGCAACUAGAAAGAGCACUUUUGUAGCUACACUUUUUGUAUACUGCUUGCUGGAUUUCAAGUUGGAAUGAA